AUGGACAUGAGGGCUCCUGCUCAGUUUCUUGGGAUCUUGUUGCUCUGGUUCCCAGGUGCCAGAUGUGAAAUCCAGAUGACCCAGUCUCCAUCCUCUAUGUCUGCAUCUCUGGGAGACAGAAUAACCAUCACUUGCCAGGCAACUCAAGACAUUGUUAAGAAUUUAAACUGGUAUCAGCAGAAACCAGGGAAACCCCCUUCAUUCCUGAUCUAUUAUGCAACUGAACUGGCAGAAGGGGUCCCAUCAAGGUUCAGUGGCAGUGGGUCUGGGUCAGACUAUUCUCUGACAAUCAGCAACCUGGAGUCUGAAGAUUUUGCAGACUAUUACUGUCUACAGUUUUAUGAGUUUCCUCC
Mus musculus (house mouse) is the source of this 353-nucleotide non-coding RNA. The record is from the annotation of a RefSeq genome assembly. Lineage: Eukaryota; Metazoa; Chordata; Mammalia; Rodentia; Muridae.